AACUUUUGGCAAUGGAUCUCUUGGCUCUCGCAUCGAUGAAGAACGCAGUGAAAUGCGAUAAGUAAUGUGAAUUGCAGAAUUCAGUGAAUCAUCGAUUCUUUGAACGCACCUUGCGCUCCUUGGUAUUCCGAGGAGCAUGCCUGUUUGAGUGUCAUUAAUAUAAUCAACCUUUUCUUGUUUUGAGAAUGGUUUGGAUGUGGGGGUUUGCUGGCUUCUCUCAAAAGGUUCAGCUCCCCUGAAAUGCAUUAGCAGAACAACCUUUGCUCAUUGGUGUGAUAACUAUCUACGCUUAUGAAUACGGAGGGGCAGUUCAGCUUUCUAACGGUCUUUGGACAAUUCAUCAUUAAUGUGACCUCAAAUCAGGUAGGACUACCCGCUGAACUUAAGCAUAUCAAUAAGCGGAGGCU
RNAcentral lists this unclassified non-coding RNA (407 nucleotides) under uncultured Cortinarius. RNAcentral describes it as "sequence contains ITS2". The stretch from base 1 to 154 matches the Rfam family "5.8S ribosomal RNA". The record is from RNAcentral. Lineage: Eukaryota; Fungi; Basidiomycota; Agaricomycetes; Agaricales; Cortinariaceae.